CCUACGGGUGGCAGCAGUGGGGAAUAUUGCACAAUGGGGGAAACCCUGAUGCAGCGACGCCGCGUGAAGGAAGAAGUAUUUCGGUAUGUAAACUUCUAUCAGCAGGGAAGAAAAUGACGGUACCUGACUAAGAAGCCCCGGCUAACUACGUGCCAGCCGCCGCGGUAAUACGUAGGGGGCAAGCGUUAUCCGGAUUUACUGGGUUUAAAGGGUGCGCAGGCGGGAGAUCAAGUCAGCGGUAAAAUGUCGGGGCUCAACCCCGGCCGGCCGUUGAAACUGGUUUUCUAGAGUUGGAGAGAAGUAUGCGGAAUUCGUGGUGUAGCGGUGAAAUGCAUAGAUAUCACGAAGAACUCCGAUUGCGAAGGCAGCAUACCGGCUCCAUACUGACGCUGAGGCACGAAAGCGUGGGGAUCGAACAGGAUUAGAUACCCUAGUAGUC
This 439-nucleotide ribosomal RNA is filed under the name uncultured bacterium. Its description in RNAcentral is "partial 16S ribosomal RNA". It matches the Rfam family "Bacterial small subunit ribosomal RNA", at positions 338 to 795 of the family's 1533-position model. The record is from RNAcentral.